AUUGAACGCUGGCGGCAGGCCUAACACAUGCAAGUCGAGCGGAUGAAGGGAGCUUGCUCCUGGAUUCAGCGGCGGACGGGUGAGUAAUGCCUAGGAAUCUGCCUGGUAGUGGGGUAUAACGUCCGGAAACGGGCGCUAAUACCGCAUACGUCCUGAGGGAGAAAGUGGGGGAUCUUCGGACCUCACGCUAUCAGAUGAUCCUAGGUCGGAUUAGCUAGUUGGUGGGGUAAAGGCCUACCAAGGCGACGAUCCGUAACUGGUCUGAGAGGAUGAUCAGUCACACUGGAACUGAGACACGGUCCAGACUCCUACGGGAGGCAGCAGUGGGGAAUAUUGGACAAUGGGCGAAAGCCUGAUCCAGCCAUGCCGCGUGUGUGAAGAAGGUCUUCGGAUUGUAAAGCACUUUAAGUUGGGAGGAAGGGCAGUAAGUUAAUACCUUGCUGUUUUGACGUUACCAACAGAAUAAGCACCGGCUAACUUCGUG
This 484-nucleotide ribosomal RNA is filed under the name uncultured bacterium. RNAcentral describes it as "partial 16S ribosomal RNA". It matches the Rfam family "Bacterial small subunit ribosomal RNA", at positions 30 to 507 of the family's 1533-position model. The record is from RNAcentral.